AAGAAAAAAAAAACCUCUGAUAUUUAAAUUAAUUAAUGUAAGUAGAGAUGAGUGUGUGGAGCAAAAGAGUAACGCGAGAGGCUAGAAAAAUAUGUGUGGAGGAGAGCAACAGGUGAAAAGCAAUGAUUAUGGUACUUGUAUAUUUUGCUUUCAGCAGAAUUCUACAAGGAAUUUGUAAGGUAUUGUGCUUUGGAGAGAAAUCAGUCUGUCAUUCGAUUAAAGAAAGUGGCUUUAAAUAGCCUUUACAAAGCAACAGAAAUGGAAUAUUUUGGGCAAUUAACACCCUGACAACUAGGAAUUUAUUGCAACUAACACCCUAACAAUUAGGGAUCUUAUUUUAACAAGUCAAUUCAACUGAAACUAAAAAUAACUUAUCAUUCCCUCUCUUAAACUAAAUGCUUUUAAGUAUUUAGUUUAUCUGAAACCUCACAUACUCCCAGCAUCUGUCGCAAUUUCUGAAACUGAUCUAACUUCAGUGGUUUAGUCAUCACAUCAGCUACUUGUUCCUUUGUGCCACAGAAUUCCAGCUUAAUAACAUCAUCUUUAACCAAGUCCCGUAGAAAGUGGAACCUCACAUCUAUGUGCUUGCUUCUACCAUGCAUGACCGGAUUUUUUGAAAUUUUAAUGGCAGAGCUGCUGUCACUCAUGAUUACAGUGCUUCCUUCCUGCUGAUAGCCAAUUUUCUCUAGUAUCCUUCUCAUCCAUAUAGUCUGACAUGCACAAUUUGCAGCUGCCACAAACUCAGCCUCAGUGGUUGAUAACGUGACCAAUGGUUGCUUCCUUGAUGACCAUGCAACAGCUCCUGAGUUCAUCAAAAACACAUAUCCAGAGGUGCUUUUUCGAUCCUCAAUAUCUCCUGCAUAAUCACUAUCAGUGAAUGCAAGGAGUUCUUCAGCUUCUCCCUUCUUGUAGAAUAUCCCAUAAUUCACUGUCCCUUUUAGAUAUCUCAGUGUUCUCUUUGCUGCUUGCAGGUGUAGUUCAGUAGGCUUAGACAUGUAACGACUAAUUAAGCUUACACUGAACAUAAUAUCAGGUCUGGUUGUGGUGAGGUACAUAAGGCUGCCAACUAUCUGCUUGAAAUAAGUUUCAUUGAUUCUGACUCCUCCUUCAUCACUAUGCAAUUUUGAACCUGGUACAAUUGGACUACCCACAGCAUUGCUAUUUUCCAUGCUGAACCGUUUUAGAACAUCCAUUGCAUAUUUCUUUUGGUAAAUAUAUAUGCCAUCAACAGUUUGCAAGACUUCUAUACCAAGAAAAAAUCUCAUACCUCCCAAAUCAGACAUAUCAAAUUCCCUUAACAUGGACUCUUUAAAUCUACUCAUCAUAAUAUCAUCAUCACCAGUAUAUAUCAAGUCAUCCACAUAAAUACGUACAAUGAGAAUCGUACCUUUACUGCUGGUUUUAACAAACAAUGUUUGUUCACUGUGACAUCUCUGAAAUCCUUCACUUACAAAGUGUGCUUCAAUUCUACUAAACCAAGCUCUUGGAGCUUGUUUUAGUCCAUAUAAGGCCUUCUGCAAUUUAUACACUUUGUGCUCAUUCCCUUUCUGCUCAUACCCCUUUAGCUGCUCUACAUAGACAUCCUCACUUAAUGUUCCAUGAAGAAAGGCAGAUUUUACGUCUAGUUGGAAAAUCUUCCAUCCUCGCUGGGCUGCCAAAGCAAUGAUCAUGCGAACUGUGUCCAUUCUAGCUACGGGAGCAAAAACCUCAGUAUAAUCCACUCCUUGUUGCUGGGAAUAGCCCUUAGCUACCAGCCUUGCUUUGUAUUUGUCUACCCCUCCAAAUUCAUUGAAUUUGGUCUUAUAGAUCCAUUUAACCCCAAUCAUCUUGGCACCUGCGGGCAGCUCAGUUAGCUUCCAUGUUUCAUUCCUCUCGAUUGACUCCAUCUCAGCAUCCAUUGCCAGCCGCCAUUUAGGACUUAGUUGAGCUUCUUCAAAACUGGUUGGAUCUGCAUGUUGCUACCCAAUUUUUGACCCAUGUUUUGAUAAAUUUUCAGAAAAAUUCAAAAAUAGCGAAAAACAUUGAAAAUCCAAAAAAUACUUUUUUAAUACAUUUGCAUCGUUUUUAGCAUUUUUAGCAUCGUCUCAAAAGAAUUUAAAUUUUCAAAGACAUUUGGAACGCGUUCAACUUUUAACGCGUUACUUUUAAAAUCAUUGAUUUUCUUCAUUGAGUCGACGUUGAUAUUGCUCGUUUUCAAAAAAUACAAAAAAAUUAAGAAAAAUCAAAUUUACAAAAAAGAAAGAAAGUUGAGGGACCAAUUUUGAGAUCCAUGCAACAUUUUACCUAUAAAUACUGGUCCACAACUCAAACAAAGGGGGGGACAAUUUUGGACAACAUCAAAAAAAUACCUAACCCUAAACCCAUCUUUUUCUCUAAGGUGCCCCCCCUUCCCGUUGGAAAAAACCAGAGAGAGCAGGGGCGGCCGCAAGCCUCCCUUUCCCUGUUUACAGAGGCUGGCCGCCCCUCCCCUUUGAUUAUCUUUUUCCCCUCAUCGUCUCCAACAGACCCAGCAGCCCCUCUCAUCGCCAUUUCCCCUGCCAUUUCAGCCUUCGACCUCUGCCUCUCCACCCUCACAGCAGACCACCAUACAGCCGCUGACCCUCCUUCCCCACAAACUAGAAACCAGCCUUCUCCAUCCUCACCGAUCUGUCAUCCUCCAGCUCACAGAACAAGAGCCCCCAUUUCCAUCCUCUCCGAAAACCAGAUCAUCCUCUUCCUCCCAUUCUCCCUUGGCCCCCAGCCCCCCGGUUGGAAACUUUCUUCCCCACAGCUGCCCAACACCUCCUUUCUUCCACAGCCAUCCCCACCUUCACCAGCCACACACCAGGUCUUCCCUCUCUCAGCCGACUUCCUCUCCUCCCCCACGACCGAACACGGCCGCAGCCAACACACGGCCGCCCACAGAGUCAUCAGCGCCGGCCUCCACCAAGCCACACAGCAGCAGCCGAUCCCCUCCACCACCAGCUUGGGAGACGCCAUCCUCACCUUCCCAGCAGGAGUCCCCUUCACAGCCUCCUCCCACCGAAGAACCCAGCGGCGGCCGACAGCAGCAGCGCCCACAGACGCCGCCCCCUUCCUCAUCCAUCGGCUCUCCUUUGCACAGACCGGCAUCCAGCAGCAGUCCCCGCUGUCUUCUUCAUCUCCUCCCACCAGUCUUGCAGCGGCGGCUCCUUCCCAUCACAGAUCAACGUCAGCCACGGCAGCACCGCCCGAUCUGCCACCCGAAGCAGAGGAGAAGAAGAAGAAACACAUGACAUACCGAUCUGUAGGAGAAGCAGAUUUGACAAAAAGAAGAAAAAAACCGAAACAGAUUUGAAAAAAACGAAAUCUAAAAUCUAAAAUCGGCUGUUUGUGCGUUUUUGUUGUUGUUGCAGAUGAUGUAGCUCCUCACCGUUUGCAGGGAGGGGAAAAGGAGAAGAAACAGAGUCGGGCCAACCCAUUUUCCGGUGAUUCUCUCACGGCGCGUGAGCCCACGCGCCACCAGAUGCGGUGGCGCGUGGGAAGAUGCGCCACACUGUUCCCGGCGUCCAUGGCUUCACAGACACGUUCCCAGCACAUUCUAGGAUUUUUUAGAGUUUGUUUUUUUGUAAUUUCCAAAGUGUAAUGUACUUUUUGUUUAGUGGUUUUUGAAUUUGUAUUAUUGGUAGUGUUGAUGUAACAAAAAGAACAAAAAAAAGAAAAGAAAAGAAAAGAAAAGAGAAUAAUAAUAGUGAAAGUGUAUGGGUGUGUUUGUAUAUGUUUUUAUGGAUGUUUUAUUUUUAUUUAAGAUAAAAUUGCAAAGAUUAAAGAAGAAUUUAAUAUUUUGAUUGGAUCACGGUGAAGAAUUAUUAACUUACAUGUAAGUUGUAUUUCUAAUAUCCGAUGAAAAGACAAUUAUUAAAACUUCUUUAAUACAUCAAAGUCACGAAGCAGCUUACCUCAGGUAGGGUGCGUUAGGGGUGCUAAUACCUUCCCUAACCACAACCAGUCCCUUACCCGCGAAUCUCUGACAAGACCAGUACAUCCGGUUUCCUAGUAGCCUUCAAUAAAUUACUAGGUGGCGACUCCAAC
RNAcentral lists this long non-coding RNA (4050 nucleotides) under Populus trichocarpa (black cottonwood). RNAcentral describes it as "long non-coding RNA (PTRI_LNC004729)". Lineage: Eukaryota; Viridiplantae; Streptophyta; Magnoliopsida; Malpighiales; Salicaceae. The record is from RNAcentral.